RNAcentral lists this ribosomal RNA (250 nucleotides) under uncultured bacterium. Its description in RNAcentral is "partial 16S ribosomal RNA". It matches the Rfam family "Bacterial small subunit ribosomal RNA", at positions 525 to 775 of the family's 1533-position model. RNAcentral also lists the same sequence under 1 other name. The record is from RNAcentral.
ACGUAGGGGGCUAGCGUUAUCCGGAAUUACUGGGCGUAAAGGGUGCGUAGGUGGUUUCUUAAGUCAGAGGUGAAAGGCUACGGCUCAACCGUAGUAAGCCUUUGAAACUGGGAAACUUGAGUGCAGGAGAGGAGAGUGGAAUUCCUAGUGUAGCGGUGAAAUGCGUAGAUAUUAGGAGGAACACCAGUUGCGAAGGCGGCUCUCUGGACUGUAACUGACACUGAGGCACGAAAGCGUGGGGAGCAAACAG